This 406-nucleotide ribosomal RNA is filed under the name uncultured bacterium. RNAcentral describes it as "partial 16S ribosomal RNA". It matches the Rfam family "Bacterial small subunit ribosomal RNA", at positions 30 to 526 of the family's 1533-position model. The record is from RNAcentral.
AUUGAACGCUGGCGGCAGGCUUAACACAUGCAAGUCGAGCGAGCGGCGGACGGGUGAGUAAUGUCUGGGAAACUGCCUGAUGGAGGGGGAUAACUACUGGAAACGGUAGCUAAUACCGCAUACCAUCAGAUGUGCCCAGAUGGGAUUAGCUAGGAGGUGGGGUAAUGGAUCACCUAGGCUACGAUCCCUAGCUGGUCUGAGAGGAUGACUGGCAACACUGCAACUGAGCCACGGUCCAAGCUCCGACGGGAGGCAGCAGUGGGGAAUAUUGGACAAUGGGCGCAAGCCUGAUGCAGCCAUGCCGCGUGUGUGAAGAAGGCCUUCGGGUUGUAAAGCACUUUCCGCGAGGAGGCGUUACUCGCAGAAGAAGCACCGGCUAACUCCGUGCCAGCAGCCGCGGUAAUAC